GGUUGGCGCCCUUUUACAGUUUGAAAGUUGAACGGUUUUUAGACACACAGCUGCGUCACACACGUCCUCAAACAAACAAACGUGCAGCGAUGAAAUGCGUGAAGACGAUCAUCAAAGAUCUGGAUGAGAAGACACGCUUUUUAUUGAAGAGGCGACUAGACAAGCUCUUGAACAGAUGCAGAACAACAGGGAGUUUAAAAGACACCAUAAAGGCUUUAAAAAAAGAGCUUGGAAUGGAAGAAGCAUUAAAAACUGUCGAGCGCACACUGAAGAAAAUCAGAAAAAAGAUGCAUACCAAACGUAUGAAAAGAUAUGGGGAUGGCGUUCAAACACAUUCUGGAGACAUGACAGUUCAGAGGCAUGACAAUCUUCCCCAACAUAAUAAUAAUGAUAAUAAUAAUAAUAAUUCUGUAUCAUGUGGACAACGGUUGAUUCGGAGCCCAAAUCAGUGUAACUUAAUAAUUGACCAGGAGGACGGUUGUAUAGCGAAUGCUCCAGUUUUGGCAGGAAACACCAUAACAGGUCGUGACAUUAUCUUUAACCAUCAUGUGGUGAGUGUCUGACUGUUAAAAUACUGAAAUUACAUUUUGUAGAGUUACUUAUUUAAAGUGAUAAUUCACCCAAAAAUGGAAAUUCUGUCACUGAGUCACCCUGAAGUCGUUCCAAACUUGUAUGGGUUUCUUUCUUCUGCUGAACACAGAAGAAGAUAUUUUGAAGAAUGUUAAGAACCAAACAGUUAAUGGUAGCCAAUGACUUCCAUCAUGUGGAAAAAAUAAUGUGGAUGUCAAUGGCUACCAGCAACUCUUUGUUAAAGGUUAGUUCACC
Long non-coding RNA from Carassius carassius (crucian carp), 825 nucleotides. RefSeq lists it as uncharacterized. The transcript is spliced from 3 exons. Lineage: Eukaryota; Metazoa; Chordata; Actinopteri; Cypriniformes; Cyprinidae. The record is from RefSeq and is a predicted model, not a curated record.